RNAcentral lists this ribosomal RNA (376 nucleotides) under uncultured organism. RNAcentral describes it as "partial 16S ribosomal RNA". It matches the Rfam family "Bacterial small subunit ribosomal RNA", at positions 527 to 896 of the family's 1533-position model. The record is from RNAcentral.
GUAGGUGGCAAGCGUUGUCCGGAAUUAUUGGGGCGUAAAGCGCGCGCAGGCGGUCCUUUAAGUCUGAUGUGAAAGCCCACGGCUCAACCGUGGAGGGUCAUUGGAAACUGGGGGACUUGAGUACAGAAGAGGAAAGCGGAAUUCCAAGUGUAGCGGUGAAAUGCGUAGAGAUUUGGAGGAACACCAGUGGCGAAGGCGGCUUUCUGGUCUGUAACUGACGCUGAGGCGCGAAAGCGUGGGGAGCAAACAGGAUUAGAUACCCUGGUAGUCCACGCCGUAAACGAUGAGUGCUAAGUGUUAGGGGGUUUCCCGCCCCCUUAGUGCCGCAGCUAACGCAUUAAGCACUCCGCCUGGGGGAGUACGGCCCGCAAGGCUG